This 2305-nucleotide long non-coding RNA is filed under the name Cricetulus griseus (Chinese hamster). RNAcentral describes it as "lncRNA (ENSCGRG00015036103.1)". Lineage: Eukaryota; Metazoa; Chordata; Mammalia; Rodentia; Cricetidae. The record is from RNAcentral.
CAGGGAGGGAACUCAGCAACUUAUAUUUAGGUUGCUUUUGCUCGUUUUUUUAUCACAGCAACAGAUGAUCAAACCAAAACGUCCUUUUCAUUUUCUCUGGGCCUCCAGCCCAUGGGACGAUGCCACCCACCUUCAAGGUAUGUUUUUUCCCCUACAGUUCCUUCUGUCUGGAAAUAACUUCCCAGAUCCCUCCAGAGGUGUGACUUAGCAUCCCCUACACGAAUUGAAAGCCAGGCAGGUCAGCAAACAGGACUAAUCAUCUCAGGUGUUUAACAGGCAUUUUCUUUAAAACGAACAAAAUGAGCCUGUCACUCCCAGGAGAACAACCGCCAGUGCCUGUCUCUGAUGACAGAAAACAAGCUCUCGAGCAUCACUGUUUAGGGGACCCUUUUAUCUGCCACUGUAAGCGUGACAGACUCUCACUAUUUAAAGACUUUUCUGAUGACGUUAAACACGAGCAGUGAUGUAAAAGAAUGUGAUUAAAAUCAUUUUUGAGAUUUGUUUUUAUUUUAUAUUUUAUGCACAGAAGUAUUUUGCCUGGGUGUAUGUCUGUGUGGCAUGCGCAUGGUUGGUGCCCGAGGACACCAGAAAGGGGUGUCGGGUCCCUUGGAACUGGGAUUACAGAUGGUUGUGAGCCGCCACGUGGGUACUGGGAGUCAAACCUGGGUCCUCCAGAAGUGCAGCCAGUACUCUUAACCACUAAGCCGUUUCUCCAGCCCAAGGGUGCCAUUUUUGGUGUUAUGCAAUAAACAUGACUUUUGGAAGCUCUUCAUAGCUUUAGUAAACCUUCAUUUUCCAAAUGACUAAUGCACUUCUCUUAACAGCAAGAGGAAGCUAUAAAAUCAACCUUGUUUUGACCUUAGUGGGGAGUGGAAACAGCAGGGCAACAAAAUGGCAUUAAAACCUGAAGACCAGGUGCCACCAAAGAGAAAUAGCACAGGGCAGUACUUACCCGAUGGUGGGCCAUAAGAGACUCCAGAUGCCAUGCACGCAAGCAAGAAACAUAACUUAGCUUUUUUUUUUUUUUUCAAAUUGUUAGAGCCUGAUGUGGCUACCACUGGAGUGCAGAGCUCUGCGGUAUUGCAGACUGGAGGCAAGUUGCCAUGUAUUGCCAGCAACUGAUGAUGAGAAAGAUUAGGGGGACCAGAUAGUCAAGGGAAGGUUCUAUACUGGCCCAGGCAUGAGGGAUAGGCUACCCACUGUCUUUGUCCAGUUUCUGUUGUUAUGUUAAAAUGCCUGAGACUGAAGAAUGUAUAGAAAAUUAAGUGUUUGUUUUUUUUUUUUUAAAUUCAUGUGUCUGGAGGCUGGGAAGUCUAAGGGUACAGUGUGGGCAUCUGGUGAAGAUCUCAAUGUGUCAGUACAUUACAGAGGGCAUCACAGGGAGACGGGGCAAGUGUGUUAGCAAUUUCCUCUGAAUCGAAACUUUUAUUUGGGCUGUCACUCUUGCUGUCACUCUAUCCUGUUGCUGUAGUCAGUAAGAAAUCCAGCUUCUUCUAGAUUCCAGAAGACUAGAGAGCUCCAGGGAUUCCUCCAGGACUCUGGCACCAGGUCUGGGCUAUUGACACAUCCAGCUUGGGCAGGACAGCAUUGAGUCCCAUGUUUUGCUGUGAGAUAGCCAUUGGUGGACUGCUCUGUAGGGACUACACCAGCCAAUCUAAUCAACCCCAUACAGCUGCUGUCAGCUCCCUGUCUGGGGCGAGUAGAUGCUUGUUCCUGUCUCCCCAGGAAGAGCAUCUGUCACAUGUCAGUGGUGGAGACGGUCUGAUCAGCUGAGCUGCCUGGAGGAGACUGACCAGUCAAGCCGCCUGUGAUUCCUGUGAGCUGUCACCCAUGCUGGGGUGGCGUUUUUGGUGACACAACUACCUUUGAGUCUCCCACACUCCUGUAAGUAAGCCCUCACUCAUAUCCUGUAAGUCUUGCCGGGCUCACAUCGAGACUCCAGAGAAGAGAGGGGAAGGAAGAGAACGAUUUCCUGCUUGUCCCUGCUUAUAUUCUGAGUCUGCCUGCUAUGUCACUUCCUGCCUGGAUCACAAGACUUCUCUUUACUACACUUCCCAGGAUCCUCCUCGACUCCUAGUCCCGUCUAAUUAGCUUCCCUAUUGGCCAACAGUACUUUAUUUAUCAACCAAUAAGACAAACAUAUACACAUAAGGACCUCCCCCAUCAUAAGCCCAAUAAAUUCAUUGGUUCACCAAGUUGGACUUGGAUAGAAUGUGUCUUUCUCUGGCUCUCUAUUUGGGUGAUUAGACAUCUGUCAGCAUCUCCCCAGGAAAAGUUCAUAUAACUCACCCUUUCUUCUUUCUUU